UUUCAAUUAACUAAAUCGGUAUCUUAGUCUAACAGUAUUAAGUUUAGAAUGCCUGGUAGAAUAAUAUUGUGACAUAUGGUAUAAAUGAUGUCAUGGUGAUGUCAUAAUUUAAAAAAAUUAAAAAAAAAUUCUUUUCACUUUUCUCCUCCCCAUUUCUUUUGAGGCUCUUUUUUCUUUUCCUUCCUUCUUUCUUCUUCCUCCCUCAACCCAAGUUGCUGCCUCC
RNAcentral lists this long non-coding RNA (223 nucleotides) under Gossypium raimondii (Peruvian cotton). RNAcentral's name for it is "long non-coding RNA (GRAI_LNC010052)". Lineage: Eukaryota; Viridiplantae; Streptophyta; Magnoliopsida; Malvales; Malvaceae. The record is from RNAcentral.